This is a long non-coding RNA of Quercus lobata, 298 nucleotides long. RefSeq lists it as uncharacterized. NCBI's taxonomy places the organism in Eukaryota, Viridiplantae, Streptophyta, Magnoliopsida, Fagales, Fagaceae. The transcript is spliced from 3 exons. The record is from RefSeq and is a predicted model, not a curated record.
GGGCAGAGUGGUUCAAGAUUUCCCACAUUCCAAACGUCAUGUUCUGGUAGCUAUGCAGAUUGGUCCAAGACAGAUGAGCAAAUGGAAAAAAAUUGAAUCAUCUGAUAUUCAAGAGCUCCUUGCGAUGCAUCACCAAAUUAGAGAAGCUGCUGAAUUUUCACUUCAGCAUCCCCAAUCACAGAAAAAUGGCCCAACAUUGACCAUAUUCCAAUUUUAAAGAAAUAAUGUGCUUAUUCCAUGGUUGUUAUGGAACUGGGGAAAGAACUGAAAUGCGUUAAUGUGAAAAAAAAAGUUCAGG